Molecule: ribosomal RNA, 327 nt
Filed under: uncultured eukaryote
Lineage: Eukaryota
Description: partial 18S ribosomal RNA
Rfam family: Eukaryotic small subunit ribosomal RNA
Source: RNAcentral
CCCUUAGAUGUCCUGGGCUGCACGCGCGCUACACUGACACAUUCAGCGAGUUUUUCCUUAUCCGGUAGGAUUGGGUACUCUUUUGAACGUGUGUCGUGAUGGGGAUAGAUUAUUGCAAUUAUUAAUCUUGAACGAGGAAUUCCUAGUAAACGCAAGUCAUCAGCUUGCAUUGAUUACGUCCCUGCCCUUUGUACACACCGCCCGUCGCACCUACUGAUUGGAUGACUCGGUGAAAAAUUGGGACUGUGAAGAACACUGCUUAAUUGCGGCGUUUUUUAUGGGAACUUUUUUAAACCUCGUUAUCUAGAAGAAGGUGAAGUCGUAACA